GCGAGCCAAUCCGAAAGGAAAAAAAUCCAAUAUGGCCGCCCCCGUUCGCGGUCGCUUCCUCGCUCGUGGUGCCGCCGGCUUCGCGGCCGCGACGUCGGUUCGAGCGUUUGCGCACUAAUUGCUGCUGCACUGUCUUCUGUCUUUAUUGCCGAUGUAUCAUGUUGGAUCCAUCACAGUGUCAGAAGAUUUUCUGAGCAGUACUUAAAUUGCAGAUGGGGAACGCUGCAUAGUUUCAUCAUAACGUGUCACCAACUAGAACUGCAUCCCUUGUCAUUCGAUGGUUCAGGAAGUCGAAUGUCAGAGUUUGCAGAGUUUAGUUAAACAAGAAACACAGUUGCUCUACACAAACAGUACGUUGUGAAUAGUUUCAGUUGUGACAACAUUACGCAGGCUUAGAUGUCCAUAUCUAUCAGGAAAACAUCAAGGCUACUGGUCCAUACUCCUUUAAGCAGGUGCAGGAUGUGUACUUUGCAAUAAUUCUCUCUCUCUCUCUCUUUUGCACUUACCAUCACUUGGUGAAACCUGUGACGGUGGUGUGGGCCUUCUUGUCGGUGUGCUUGGCGAAGCGGCUGUUGAAAAAUAAAUAAAUAUGCUAUAAAAGGCUUGCAAACAGGUAUUAUAAUAAACUCACUUUGCAUUGCACGUGUGAAUACUGAGCAACAGACUUGUGGAGCAAUUUUAACAUGUGCCUGAGAAAAACUACUCAGUGUUUUCAUCACCAUGGAAUGAGCUCAACACAGAAAGCACUGAGUCUAUGCAUUGAUGUACAAAAAGAAAAGAUAUCUAAACCACGCAACAAAGCUUUCUUGCAUGGAGGUUGGGUUGUUAUGAACUCGUAACGAGCUGCACAAACAGUAGAGGAGUAAGGACGGAAACAUGACAGAGUACAUUCAUACUGCGACAUGCCAAAAGCCAUUUUCGCUGCUCUAUCUCCCUGUUUCUUCAUUUUGCGUUUGCGCAGCAUGCUAUCAGUUCAUCCAUACCAUGUAAACGGUGCAAUCAGACAUUCUUACUGGGAAGCAUGCUAAAUACUACUCUAUAAGCACAAGGUAACAAAAAUUUUUUCCCUAGAGUACAUUUCCUGCAUUUAAGGUUUACGCAC
Rhipicephalus sanguineus (brown dog tick) is the source of this 1102-nucleotide long non-coding RNA. RefSeq lists it as uncharacterized. The record is from RefSeq and is a predicted model, not a curated record. The transcript is spliced from 3 exons. NCBI's taxonomy places the organism in Eukaryota, Metazoa, Arthropoda, Arachnida, Ixodida, Ixodidae.